This 70-nucleotide transfer RNA is filed under the name Marmota monax (woodchuck). Its description in RNAcentral is "tRNA.Ala". It matches the Rfam family "tRNA". From Rfam's summary of the family: Transfer RNA (tRNA) molecules are approximately 80 nucleotides in length. Lineage: Eukaryota; Metazoa; Chordata; Mammalia; Rodentia; Sciuridae. The record is from RNAcentral.
GGGGUUGUGGCUCAGUGGCAGAGCGCUCACCUUGCACGUGUGAGGCCCUGGGUUCGAUCUCAGCACCACA